GGGAGCCCGAUGCGGGAAAUCCGCACGUCGGGUUCUGAUUGGGGCUGAUAGCACAAGGAAACGAGGCUAUCUUCUACCAACC
RNAcentral lists this non-coding RNA (82 nucleotides) under Desulfosporosinus orientis DSM 765. The record is from RNAcentral. Lineage: Bacteria; Bacillati; Bacillota; Clostridia; Eubacteriales; Desulfitobacteriaceae.